This is a long non-coding RNA of Pipra filicauda (Wire-tailed manakin), 661 nucleotides long. RefSeq lists it as uncharacterized. Lineage: Eukaryota; Metazoa; Chordata; Aves; Passeriformes; Pipridae. The record is from RefSeq and is a predicted model, not a curated record. The transcript is spliced from 3 exons.
UCCCUGCUCUGACUGGCACUGGGCUCUCUGACUUGCAGAAGCUGUGGUCAGAUGCCUGGCCAAACCUGGGUCCACAUAAUACCAGCAUUGCAGAGGCAUUUACAGAGGCGUUGAUUAACUCUCAUUGUGAGAUUAGGGCCCACAAAUCUCCUGAGUAUCCAACUCCCAAGUAGAUGAACCCAUAUCAGCUUCGGUCUGUCAGGAGCCACACUGUGCACACCUCCAGCUAGAAAAGCCCUUGGAAGCACUAGGUGGAAUAUCUGUUUUUCUGCAUCAUCUACAGUGCUUCAGAGGACUGGGACUGCUUUUAGUGUGAGAACUCUAAUAUUCCAACAAAUAUGAACACUCUGUGCCCCUUAUUGCCUCUUUGCUUAUCCACUAAUUGGUGAGACUUGCUGCAUUUUCCAUAAAGAUGUUGAAGCAGUUUGGACCUCCAUGGUAACAUUGUCCUGCUUAUCAGCUGUUUGUCCAGUCCUGGAGAAGCAUCAUUGUUGUCCAUCAAAAGGCUGAUCACUUUGAGAGGACAGUAUAAACAAAUUCACUAAGGUUUCAUCUGAGCAAGACAGAGCUGAUGCUGAAGAAGGAAUCUCCAGGAACAUGAAUAUCCUGGGGGGAAGAGAGAUUUCAUUUCUUAGUGAGCAUUUGCCUAUUUUUCCACAAA